RNAcentral lists this ribosomal RNA (253 nucleotides) under uncultured bacterium. RNAcentral's name for it is "partial 16S ribosomal RNA". It matches the Rfam family "Bacterial small subunit ribosomal RNA", at positions 524 to 776 of the family's 1533-position model. The record is from RNAcentral.
UACGUAGGGGGCUAGCGUUGUCCGGAAUCAUUGGGCGUAAAGCGCGCGUAGGCGGCCAGAUAAGUCCGGUGUGAAAGUCACAGGCUCAACCUGUGAAUGCCGCUGGAAACUGUCUGGCUAGAGUCCGGAAGGGGCGAGUGGAAUUCCUGGUGUAGCGGUGAAAUGCGCAGAUAUCGGGAGGAACACCAAUGGCGAAGGCAGCUCGCUGGGACGGUACUGACGCUGAGACGCGAAAGCGUGGGGAGCAAACAGG